AAUCUUACCUGGGAGGGGGGGAUACCAUGAUGAAGAAGGUAAUUUUCCCAGGGUAAGGGUCAUCCAUUGCACUCUGGGUGUGUUGACAUUUUGAUUUCCCCAAAUGUGGUGUAUUAGUCAGGGUUCUCCAAAGAAAC
This 137-nucleotide small nuclear RNA is filed under the name Nannospalax galili (Upper Galilee mountains blind mole rat). RNAcentral's name for it is "U1 spliceosomal RNA (ENSNGAG00000003772.1)". It matches the Rfam family "U1 spliceosomal RNA". Rfam says of the family: U1 is a small nuclear RNA (snRNA) component of the spliceosome (involved in pre-mRNA splicing). Its 5' end forms complementary base pairs with the 5' splice junction, thus defining the 5' donor site of an intron. The record is from RNAcentral. Lineage: Eukaryota; Metazoa; Chordata; Mammalia; Rodentia; Spalacidae.